Molecule: long non-coding RNA, 4872 nt
Organism: Homo sapiens (human)
Lineage: Eukaryota; Metazoa; Chordata; Mammalia; Primates; Hominidae
Source: Ensembl
ACCAGGACAUAGAAUGAAAACAUCUCCACUAUCCCCACUUCUUCCAAGAAAAUCCAGCAGGUCUGAAUUCUCCUUAUCUCCAAGGAGUGCCUGGACAUCAGCAUCAGAUCAAUUUGGAAUUUCAUGCAAAUAAAACACACCAACUUAAUGGGAUGUGAAAGAGUUGGCUUCAAAAUAAAUCCUUGUUGAAAGGCACUGGAAUUACAUUUGAAAUGGAAGUGAAACAAAGUUGAAUUUUAUGGCACUGGCUUACAGGCUCUGUCUUGCACUGUUUACAGAUUGACCCAAAUAAAGUGAAGAAGACCAGAAUCAGGACCCAUCCUGGCAUAUACCUUUCACCUGAUAACAUCUGUUGGUUCCUAUGUAUUUAAUAUAUGUAUUUUCAUGUUUAUUUCUUUAUUUUUAUUAACUUUUCCAAUAAGAUUUCUCCCCCAAAAUACUAAUGUCAAUUAACAUUUAAAUAUAGAACUGUAAGUUUAAAUAUAGAACUGUGUUGGGCUAGACACAAUAUGAUUUCCUAAUUAUUACCAACCUGUUUCAUUUAAUUUGUAGAAUCCCUUGCAGUUUUUAAAUAACUCUCUACAAUCUCAUUUCUUCCUGUUAUCAAUCCAGUACUGAUAAAGUAGUAUCCCUAAACUAUAGUUGAAAACAUUGUAAUUCAGAAAAGUGAAGAGACUCAUCCAAUGCAUAUAUUUGAAAGCAACAUAGCUGAUUUCAGGGUUUUCUAGAUCUUAUUUCCUGGCUGGCUUGGUGUAGGUGGUAGUAAAUAACAUAUGUGGUUUUGGUACUGCAGAUUUUAAUCUAUGGUGAUCCACAUUCUGUUCCAGAGACACCAUGCAUUACUAUGGUCUCCAGGCUGUUGGCGAUCAUAACACUAGGGGGCACCAUUUUGACUUCCUUCUUACAUUAGCCUUUAGGGCCUUCAUAUUUUCGUAUUGAAGGUUGAUGAUGAAAUCAUGGGGAAUUUUAUUUCAUCUUGUUCAGACAAGAUUUUUGCAAGAGGCUUUACUUAUGAAAGGGAGAUGAUGCUUUCUUUCCACUAGUGAAGAUGUGUAGAAAAUUAAUUCCUACAGAGUUCUAAUUCCUAUGACUAAUAUCAAGAAAUGAGUAUUGUAGAGUAGGACACAUUCUUAGGGACUGUCAUGCUCAUUUAACUCUUAAACAGCUGGAUUCCUUUCUCUUUUUCUCCUCACCCUUACAGGGAUAUGGGCAGAGGGCCCCUUGUGUGACUUUAGAAGGAGGUUUUGAGGGUAAGAGAAGGAUUUCUCUGUCAUCAAAGAUAGCUACUCUGGUAUUGUGGCUUAGCCGCAGCAACUAUGCAGAACCAAACCAUUAGCACCCAGCUCUCAAAGAGAUGUUGCAUUUUGGGAUGUUUGUAUAUGCAGAGGUUACAAACUACUUGAUGUAUGAAUUGAUUUUUGCUGCAUAACAAUUAAUCAAUUAUUUUCAUACUCAUGGGUCUGCAGGUUGACUAUUUUCAUACUCACGGUUCUGCAGGUUUUCUGAUUAAGAGGAGAAGCUCUAUGAUAAGCCAGAGAAGAAAAGCAAGAAUCUAAGAACAAGGUGCUACUUGGUAUCUGCUCUCUGGGUCUAUGUAAUUUGGAGUUCCUAGCAGAGUGCGUAAUGCAUUUAGAGAGAGGUAUUUGUCUUUUCAAAAUAGGAUCCUGGACCUAAUGGGCACUGCUUGAAUUCAAUACCAGAAUAUGAUUCUAAAUAUCAGUAAAGUUUAAGAUCAUAUACAUGCAAUACUUCACAAGGUUUCUGGGUAGGGAUUUUAUGAAGAGAUGACUUAAUUAUUUUUUGAGUAUUCCUGACUCAAUACUCAAUAAAGAUAGUGCUAUGCUGUUUACACGCACGUGCAUAACAAACUAUAAAGGACACAUAGUAAGUAAUAAACUCAGUGUCACAUUCCUCUCACAGCCUGCUGAUGACUAUAAUUAAUAACUGUUUUUUUACCUUGAAAUUUGAUGAGAGCAGAUUUUAAUUGUUCUCACCACACACACAUGCCCACAUGCAUGCACACACACAAAUAACUGUGAGUGAUGCUGAAUGUGUUAACUAAUUGGAUUGUGGUCAUCACUAUACAAUGUAUACUUAUAUCAAAUCAUCAUGUUUUAUACCUCGAACAUACACAUUUUUUGUCAAUUAUAUCUCAUUAAAGCUGGAAAAAUGUAUUUCUGAUAGGUCGAGGAAAAAAAAGCAAUUCUUAAGAAAAAAAAAACAGAGGCAAGUAGAUGAUCACCUCCUGAGGUUAUCAAUGACUGUACAUUGAUGUCUAGUUUUGAUGUUUAUAAUUCUACCAAGUGAAUAUGUUCUGCAUUCUUAGACUUUCACAUCGAGGUUUCUCUAGGGAUUGGAAGGAGCUCCAUAAAGAUUAACUGUGUAACGACAUUCAGCAUCCCCAGAAGCAGCAUCCUACUGCUUAAUAACCUCAUUUCCAAUAGUGUGUUGUCUCCAAGUGCAUGAGCACAUGCACAAAUACAUAACACACAUGAUGGAACCAUAUAAUCUCCAUGUUGCAAGGGACUCUAAAGAGACUUGUAGUUCAGGAAGACUUGCCCAGUAAUAAGUAUUCUUCACAUCAUCUCUAACUCUUCAUAAUAUUGGAUUCUACUAGAAAAAUACACAGGAAGAAAAAUCUAACUAUAUCUUGUGGUUGCCAAUUUCAUUUAUGCUUAUCCCAAUUGUUAAGAACUUUCUGUUUUCAUCGUAUGGAGCAGGAUUUCAUCUCCCCACAGACACCUCUCUGGGGUCCUAAUUAAACCUUCUUGGAUUAAAAUCAGCUAUAACAAUCUCAGUUUUUGUAGUUAUCUCCACACUGCAUUGUGGAUUCUGGUGACAAAACAUUUGUUCAGGGUCUGCAUGCUUUUAACUUACCUGUCUAUCCUUUUAGUUCUCUCCUUAACUAAACUGGAAACACCAAUAGGCCUCCAGGGUAGAAUAUGAAGCCCUAAGCAAUUAACAGAUGUGGAGGGUUAUAGGAACACUGAGAAUUGCUAUGAUUGGUGUGUGGGGAGUCAUAGCCAGGGCUUGUAGCCCAGAGACAGAUGAUUUUGAUUUCCCACCUCUCUUUGAUGCCCUUGUUGACAGAUGAUGUGAAACUAGCUCCCCUGAGUGUAGUUUGUCUGAAUUUACUGGAUUUGCAGGUGUUUGGCUUCAUCCCACUAAUGUAUAAUGAUACAAAUGGUCUCUAAGGCUUACUCAGUGCAGAAAGAUCUCAUGUAUCAUAGAAAACCAGAAUAUUAGAGUGAGAAGUAACUUUAAAGAUGAUCUAGUCUUACCCCGAUUUUAUUUUUUAUUUUAUUUUUUUUCUUUCUUUUAGACUUCAAAUAUCGAGUGUCCUGUUAAUUAUAUUUCCUAGUGGUUCAAUGAUACUUCGUCUUGAUGUCCUCUUGAGUAUUUUCCCCUUUAUCACCCAUCUCUCUCCAUUCUCCCUUUCCCAUGAUUGGGUACUCACUCUAUGUCUUUAAAGAUGUAUGAUUCUUUGAAAAAAUUAUGUCAUUAUUUUAUGCUUACAUGUGUUUUUAAUUUGCAUAAGUACAGGUACUUUAUAUCUCAUUAUUUGUAGUUCUUUUCCCAUCAACAUUAUGUUUUGUGUGUUUGUAUCCUGUGUUGCUUCUGACAGCUGCUUAGUAAAACACUGAACACACUCCCCGUUUUCUGCCUACCCAUCCAUUCAUAGAUGCAUACCUAGAUUGUCAUAAACUCCCCACUUCCAUACAUAAUGCCCCGAUGAACAUUGUUAGCUAUGCAUCCUUAUAGAUCUAUGAACAGUUGUUUCUGGGAUACAUAUUAAAGAGGGGGUUUCUAGGAUUUACUAAUGUUUGAUUUCAUUAAAUACUUCAAAGUGCUUUCUGGAAUGACUGCAAGUCUAUACUUCUAACUGCAGGUGCAUUACCUUUUUCCCAUAUUCAUGCCAAAUGUAGCAUUACUCUCUUCCUAAUUUUUGCCAACAUAAUGGGUAUAAAGUGUAUAAAGUGUUAUAGUUUAAUGUUAGUCUGAGAUUUUUUAUUACUUGUAUUUUAGGCAUCUUAUAUGCUUGGUGGUGUUUUAGGUUUCAUUGUCUGUGAAUUGCUUAUUUGUUUCCUUUACCCAUUUUUUCAACUUAGCUUACGAGGUUUUAAAGUACAUUUGCAAGAAUUCCUUGAAUAUUUUUGACAUUAACACUAUGGUUUUUUUUAAACAUAAUAUAUUUAUCACACUCAGGAAAUUUGACAUUGGGGUUAUGUUGUUACAUGCAUUUCAUAUUCACGUUUCUUAUAACAAUAAGAACAAUAACAAAAUAAUAAAAAUAGUGUCCUUAAUAUUGUUUUUGUUAAACCCACUAUCCAAUUAAAGAUCAUACAUUGCAGUUAUUCUCAUAUCUCUUUCCUUUCCUUUAAAGAUUGUCCCCAAGCACUUAAAAAAAUUUUAUGGGUACAUAGAAGAUGUGUAUAUUUAUGGGGUACAUUAGUUCUUCUUUAAAUGUUUGGUAAAAUUCAGUAGCGAAGCUAUCAGGUCGUGGGCUUUUCUGUGCUGGAAGACUCUUUAUUACUGCAUCUAUCUCAUUACUUGUUAUUAGUCUGUUCGGGUUUUGGAUUUCUCUGCUUAAUUUCAGUGUUCUCUCUUACAAGUUCUAUUCUAGCAGUGAUUGUUCAUAAUUUUGGUUUUUCUUUCUGGAAGAGGCAAGUGUUGGAUGCCUCCUUUUCUAUGGUAGGUUUUUUAUAUUUAGCCUCUAUCAAAUUAAGAAUGUCUUUUUCUAUUCUUAGUUUUCUGAAAAAGUUUAUUUUAAAUUAUGUAUUGGUAUUGAACUUAAUAAAAAAUUUGUUUUUAUGUAUAUAUAUAUAUAUAUAUAAACUCAUGCAAUCUUUGCUAGUUAGCCCAUUAAUGUGA